Molecule: long non-coding RNA, 458 nt
Filed under: Elaeis guineensis (African oil palm)
Lineage: Eukaryota; Viridiplantae; Streptophyta; Magnoliopsida; Arecales; Arecaceae
Description: long non-coding RNA (EGUI_LNC022899)
Source: RNAcentral
GUCCGCGCGUUGUAUUAAAUUGUCGUCCGUCGAACUUUUCUUAUCAUUCGACCUGUCUGAUAUUGACGUCGUUGGGAGGUGCCCAGUCGUUGAUACGUUGGCUUGCCUUCCUCAUCGUUCAUGGCCGCGAGCUCGAGCUUGGCGGUCCGAACUCCGCAUUACUUUGGGGGCGUCGCUGUCUUCUUGACCUGUGUCGAGAGUUUUCUCAGAGACCGGGGGUGUUUGGUAAGAGCUCCCCAUCUUUGUUGAGAUGAGGUUCUUCAGGUCUUUGGUGUGGUUCGUUCUUUAUCUGUUUCCGCCGUAGCUCGCCGCUCUUCCUCCUUAAUAUCCCUCCUCUUCUCAGAGUGAGGGCCCUACCCUCGCUUUUGCGGGGUUGCACAGGAGUGUGGAGGUGCCGCUGAGGGGCCUUGUCCCUUUGCCUGAUCUUGUCGGGCGGUCGGGUUUCAUCACUAUCAGGA